GACGAACCGUGCAAACGUUGUUCGGAAUCACUGGGCUUAAAGGGCGCGUAGGUGGCGCCGCAAGUCCAUGGUGAAAGCUCGAUGCUCAACAUCGAGUCGGCCACGGAGACUGCGGGGCUCGAGCACUGUAGGGGCAGAUGGAAUUCCGGGUGUAGCGGUGGAAUGCGUAGAGAUCCGGAAGAACACCGGUGGCGAAGGCGACUACCUGGCCUGUUCUUGACGCUGAGGCGCGAAAGCUAGGGGAGCAAACGGGG
Molecule: ribosomal RNA, 254 nt
Filed under: uncultured bacterium
Lineage: Bacteria
Description: partial 16S ribosomal RNA
Rfam family: Bacterial small subunit ribosomal RNA
Source: RNAcentral